Long non-coding RNA from Dermochelys coriacea (leatherback sea turtle), 395 nucleotides. RefSeq lists it as uncharacterized. Lineage: Eukaryota; Metazoa; Chordata; Testudines; Dermochelyidae. The transcript is spliced from 3 exons. The record is from RefSeq and is a predicted model, not a curated record.
GGCCUACCAGAGAAACAUACACCCUCCUGUCUGCUUAACAUACAGGCUGUGAGAAAGCCCCAGAAUCCUGCAGUUGAUAGUUGGUGGACACAGCUACAGAUGCAGGCCCUAGCUGUGAGAGCGGCAUACAGCUGAUCUAAACUGGGGCAGUGCAUGUCUGGAAGUUCUCUUUCAAUGGGGAACUCAUUAAAGUGCUUUUUAUGAAGAUCCUCCCUCAGGCUGGUUGGUAACUGAUAUACACCAUUGUAGCCCCUGGAGAAAGGUUAACCGUAGGUGCUGUGCCCUGCUCCAACCUGCUGGGGAAAUCACAGUGAGGUGCAGAGUGACUGCAAAUCUCAACUUCCAAUCUGGAGGAAGAGGGGCAUGGGUCUCCACCCAGUCUGGGAGCCUGAAAC